This 438-nucleotide ribosomal RNA is filed under the name uncultured soil bacterium. RNAcentral's name for it is "bacterial SSU rRNA". It matches the Rfam family "Bacterial small subunit ribosomal RNA", at positions 26 to 452 of the family's 1533-position model. The record is from RNAcentral.
AGAUUGAACGCUGGCGGCAGGCCUAACACAUGCAAGUCGAGCGGUAGAGAGGUGCUUGCAUCUCUUGAGAGCGGCGGACGGGUGAGUAAUGCCUAGGAAUCUGCCUAGUGGUGGGGGAUAACGUUCGGAAACGGACGCUAAUACCGCAUACGUCCUACGGGAGAAAGCGGGGGACCUUCGGGCCUCGCGCCAUUAGAUGAGCCUAGGUCGGAUUAGCUAGUUGGUGAGGUAAUGGCUCACCAAGGCGACGAUCCGUAACUGGUCUGAGAGGAUGAUCAGUCACACUGGAACUGAGACACGGUCCAGACUCCUACGGGAGCAGCAGAGGGGAAUAUUGGACAAUGGGCGCAAGGCCUGGAAUCCAGCCAAUCGGCCGCGUGUCGUGAAAGAAGGCCUUACGGGUUAGUAAAGCUAACGUUUUUCGUACGGAAAAGAAAA